RNAcentral lists this long non-coding RNA (579 nucleotides) under Homo sapiens (human). RNAcentral's name for it is "HSALNT0341099". The record is from RNAcentral. Lineage: Eukaryota; Metazoa; Chordata; Mammalia; Primates; Hominidae.
UUGUGCCCAGAGUUUGAUUUUCCACAGACCAGGUAGAGGCCAAGAGCCUCUCACAGACUCUGCAGCAGGGUUGCUAUGAUUAACUCUUAAGUACUCCACAACUACACGCUUUUGAAACUGGCGUUGGCAUAGCGUUAGUUCUGUGCAGGGCGGACGCAGCAGGACAGAAUCUCCCUGGGCAUCUUUUCGGAGCAUCAAUUUUACUGCAAAAUUUUGAAAAAACAAAUUUAAUUGAUUUCCAAGGAGCUUCUGUCACUGCAGAACCAGGGUCACCUGUGGAAAAUCCUUGCUGAAGCCAUCUCCCUGUCUGCCUGUCCCUCAGGCCCAGGAGUCAUGAGUCCUUUCUCCAAUAAGUCAUUCAGUUGGCUGGCAGCAAACCCUGGUUUGUCAAGGAGGACAGAAACUCAGAGCACCCUGCACUUGGGGAUCGGCACUAGGAGCUGCUCUCUGGAUGGGGAGAUGGGAGCUAGCAGCUCACAAUGGGGUCACAAGAAUAUUGGUUCUUCUUUUAUCUGAAGUGAGGAGCACCAGAGGACUGAUCACGGCAUAGACAUUGACUACAAGACUCUGAACUUGCUG